GGGUUGUGAGGUUAAGCGACUAAGCGUACACGGUGGAUGCCCUGGCAGUCAGAGGCGAUGAAGGACGUGCUAAUCUGCGAAAAGCGUCGGUAAGGUGAUAUGAACCGUUACAGCCGGCGAUGUCCGAAUGGGGAAACCCAGUGCAAUUCGUUGCACUAUCGUUAACUGAAUACAUAGGUUAACGAGGCGAACCGGGGGAACUGAAACAUCUAAGUACCCCGAGGAAAAGAAAUCAACCGAGAUUCCCCCAGUAGCGGCGAGCGAACGGGGAGCAGCCCAGAGUCUGAAUCAGCUUGUGUGUUAGUGGAACGGUCUGGAAAGUCCGACGGUACAGGGUGAUAGUCCCGUACACCAAAAUGCACAGGUUGUGAACUCGAAGAGUAGGGCGGGACACGUGGUAUCCUGUCUGAAUAUGGGGGGACCAUCCUCCAAGGCUAAAUACUCCUGACUGACCGAUAGUGAACCAGUACCGUGAGGGAAAGGCGAAAAGAACCCCGGCGAGGGGAGUGAAAAAGAACCUGAAACCGUGUACGUACAAGCAGUGGGAGCACCUUCGGGUGUGACUGCGUACCUUUUGUAUAAUGGGUCAGCGACUUAUAUUCUGUAGCAAGGUUAACCGUAUAGGGGAGCCGCAGGGAAACCGAGUCUUAACUGGGCGUUAAGUUGCAGGGUAUAGACCCGAAACCCGGUGAUCUAGCCAUGGGCAGGUUGAAGGUUGGGUAACACUAACUGGAGGACCGAACCGACUAAUGUUGAAAAAUUAGCGGAUGACUUGUGGCUGGGGGUGAAAGGCCAAUCAAACCGGGAGAUAGCUGGUUCUCCCCGAAAGCUAUUUAGGUAGCGCCUCGUGAAUUCAUCUUCGGGGGUAGAGCACUGUUUCGGCUAGGGGGUCAUCCCGACUUACCAACCCGAUGCAAACUACGAAUACCGAAGAAUGUUAUCACGGGAGACACACGGCGGGUGCUAACGUCCGUCGUGAAGAGGGAAACAACCCAGACCGCCAGCUAAGGUCCCAAAGUCAUGGUUAAGUGGGAAACGAUGUGGGAAGGCACAGACAGCCAGGAUGUUGGCUUAGAAGCAGCCAUCAUUUAAAGAAAGCGUAAUAGCUCACUGGUCGAGUCGGCCUGCGCGGAAGAUGUAACGGGGCUAAACCAUGCACCGAAGCUGCGGCAGCGACACUAUGUGUUGUUGGGUAGGGGAGCGUUCUGUAAGCCUGCGAAGGUGUGCUGUGAGGCAUGCUGGAGGUAUCAGAAGUGCGAAUGCUGACAUAAGUAACGAUAAAGCGGGUGAAAAGCCCGCUCGCCGGAAGACCAAGGGUUCCUGUCCAACGUUAAUCGGGGCAGGGUGAGUCGACCCCUAAGGCGAGGCCGAAAGGCGUAGUCGAUGGGAAACAGGUUAAUAUUCCUGUACUUGGUGUUACUGCGAAGGGGGGACGGAGAAGGCUAUGUUAGCCGGGCGACGGUUGUCCCGGUUUAAGCAUGUAGGCUGGUUAUCCAGGCAAAUCCGGAUAAUCAAGGCUGAGGUGUGAUGACGAGGUACUACGGUGCUGAAGUAACAAAUGCCCUGCUUCCAGGAAAAGCCUCUAAGCAUCAGGUAACAUCAAAUCGUACCCCAAACCGACACAGGUGGUCAGGUAGAGAAUACCAAGGCGCUUGAGAGAACUCGGGUGAAGGAACUAGGCAAAAUGGUGCCGUAACUUCGGGAGAAGGCACGCUGGUGUGUAGGUGAAGUCCCUGCGGAUGGAGCUGAGACCAGUCGAAGAUACCAGCUGGCUGCAACUGUUUAUUAAAAACACAGCACUGUGCAAACACGAAAGUGGACGUAUACGGUGUGACGCCUGCCCGGUGCCGGAAGGUUAAUUGAUGGGGUUAUCCGUAAGGAGAAGCUCUUGAUCGAAGCCCCGGUAAACGGCGGCCGUAACUAUAACGGUCCUAAGGUAGCGAAAUUCCUUGUCGGGUAAGUUCCGACCUGCACGAAUGGCGUAAUGAUGGCCAGGCUGUCUCCACCCGAGACUCAGUGAAAUUGAACUCGCUGUGAAGAUGCAGUGUACCCGCGGCAAGACGGAAAGACCCCGUGAACCUUUACUAUAGCUUGACACUGAACAUUGAGCCUUGAUGUGUAGGAUAGGUGGGAGGCUUUGAAGCGUGGACGCCAGUCUGCGUGGAGCCAACCUUGAAAUACCACCCUUUAAUGUUUGAUGUUCUAACGUUGGCCCCUUACCGGGGUUGCGGACAGUGUCUGGUGGGUAGUUUGACUGGGGCGGUCUCCUCCCAAAGCGUAACGGAGGAGCACGAAGGUUAGCUAAUCCUGGUCGGACAUCAGGAGGUUAGUGCAAUGGCAUAAGCUAGCUUGACUGCGAGCGUGACGGCGCGAGCAGGUGCGAAAGCAGGUCAUAGUGAUCCGGUGGUUCUGAAUGGAAGGGCCAUCGCUCAACGGAUAAAAGGUACUCCGGGGAUAACAGGCUGAUACCGCCCAAGAGUUCAUAUCGACGGCGGUGUUUGGCACCUCGAUGUCGGCUCAUCACAUCCUGGGGCUGAAGUAGGUCCCAAGGGUAUGGCUGUUCGCCAUUUAAAGUGGUACGCGAGCUGGGUUUAGAACGUCGUGAGACAGUUCGGUCCCUAUCUGCCGUGGGCGCUGGAGAAUUGAGGGGGGCUGCUCCUAGUACGAGAGGACCGGAGUGGACGCAUCACUGGUGUUCGGGUUGUCAUGCCAAUGGCACUGCCCGGUAGCUAAAUGCGGAAGAGAUAAGUGCUGAAAGCAUCUAAGCACGAAACUUGCCCCGAGAUGAGUUCUCCCUGAGACUUUAAGUCUCCUGAAGGAACGUUAAAGACGAUGACGUUGAUAGGCCGGGUGUGUAAGCGCAGCGAUGCGUUGAGCUAACCGGUACUAAUGAACCGUGAGGCUUAACCUUACAACGCCGAAG
Molecule: ribosomal RNA, 2923 nt
Filed under: Klebsiella pneumoniae
Lineage: Bacteria; Pseudomonadati; Pseudomonadota; Gammaproteobacteria; Enterobacterales; Enterobacteriaceae
Description: bacterial LSU rRNA
Rfam family: Bacterial large subunit ribosomal RNA
Source: RNAcentral